GGUGGCGUGGUGUGAUGGAGUGGUUAAUAAUGUAAGCUGUGGACCAGGAAGUUGCUUGUUCAAAUCCAACUUUAGCCAUAGAUAUAUGACUCAAAAGCCCUGCAGAAGUUAUUCACUGCACAAGUCAUAAGGAAGCCAAAAUGUGGAAUUCUUAAGAGUCCUGUGCAUGCCAUCCCCACAUCUGCCAAGAAGGCCCACUCAUUCCUCAAAAGCACUUGAGGACAGGAAGAGCCCGGGAAGAUUAACACGGCUGAGCAUUUGCCUUUGGUAAU
Molecule: long non-coding RNA, 272 nt
Organism: Podarcis raffonei (Aeolian wall lizard)
Lineage: Eukaryota; Metazoa; Chordata; Lepidosauria; Squamata; Lacertidae
Exons: 3
Source: RefSeq, a predicted model, not a curated record